This 497-nucleotide ribosomal RNA is filed under the name uncultured bacterium. RNAcentral describes it as "partial 16S ribosomal RNA". It matches the Rfam family "Bacterial small subunit ribosomal RNA", at positions 28 to 507 of the family's 1533-position model. The record is from RNAcentral.
GAUGAACGCUGGCGGCGUGCCUAAUACAUGCAAGUCGAGCGGACGGACGAGGAGCUUGCUUCUCUGAUGUUAGCGGCGGACGGGUGAGUAACACGUGGAUAACCUACCUAUAAGACUGGGAUAACUUCGGGAAACCGUAGCUAAUACCGGCUAAUAUUUUGAACCGCAUGGUUCAAAAGUGAAAGACGGUCUUGCUGUCACUUAUAGAUUGAUCCGCGCUGCAUUAGAUAGUUGGUAAGGUAACGGCUUACCAAGGCAACGAUGUGUAGCUGAUCUGAGAGGGCGAUCAGCCACACUGGAACUGAGACACGGCCCAGACUCCUACGGGAGGCAGCAGUAGGGAAUCUUCCGCAAUGGGCGAAAGCCUGAUGCAGCAACGCCGCGUGAGGGAUGAAGGUCUUCGGAUCGUAAAACUCUGUUAUUCGGGAAGAACAGAUGUGUAAGUAACUGUGCAGAUCUUGACGGUACCGAAUCAGAAAGCCACGGCUAACUACGUG